UCGGUAAUUCCAGCUCCNAUAGCGUAUAUUUAAGUUGUUGCAGUUAAAAAGCUCGUAGUUGGAUUUCGGGUGGGUUCUAGCGGUCCGCCUAUGGUGAGUACUGCUAUGGCCCUCCUUUCUGCCGGGGACGGGCUCCUGGGCUUCACUGUCCGGGACUCGGAGUCGGCGUUGUUACUUUGAGUAAAUUAGAGUGUUCAAAGCAGGCAUACGCCCUGAAUACUUUAGCAUGGAAUAACACGAUAGGACUCUGGCCUAUCUUGUUGGUCUGUAGGACCGGAGUAAUGAUUAAGAGGGACAGUCGGGGGCAUUCGUAUUUCAUUGUCAGAGGUGAAAUUCUUGGAUUUAUGAAAGACGAACUACUGCGAAAGCAUUUGCCAAGGAUGUUUUCAUUAAUCAAGAACGAAAGUUGGGGGCUCGAAGACGAUUAGAUACCGUCGUAGUCUCAACCAUAAACGAUGCCGACUAGGGAUUGGCGGAUGUUUUUUUGAUGACUCCGCCAGCACCUUAUGAGAAAUCAAAGUUUUUGGGUUCCGGGGGGAGUAUGGUCGCAAGGCUGAAACUUAAAGAAAUUGACGGACCAC
RNAcentral lists this ribosomal RNA (581 nucleotides) under Pseudopediastrum boryanum. RNAcentral's name for it is "SSU rRNA". It matches the Rfam family "Eukaryotic small subunit ribosomal RNA", at positions 576 to 1170 of the family's 1831-position model. The record is from RNAcentral. Lineage: Eukaryota; Viridiplantae; Chlorophyta; Chlorophyceae; Sphaeropleales; Hydrodictyaceae.